CGCAGGGUGGAGCAGCACGAGUAGCUCGUCAGGGCUCAUAACCCGAAGGUCGUCGGUUCAAAAAUCCGGCCCCGCAA
Molecule: transfer RNA, 77 nt
Filed under: Salmonella enterica subsp. enterica
Lineage: Bacteria; Pseudomonadati; Pseudomonadota; Gammaproteobacteria; Enterobacterales; Enterobacteriaceae
Description: tRNA-Met
Source: RNAcentral